CCUACGGGAGGCAGCAGUGAGGAAUAUUGGUCAAUGGACGAGAGUCUGAACCAGCCAAGUAGCGUGAAGGAUGACUGCCCUCUGGGUUGUAAACUUCUUUUAUAUGGGAAUAAAAUGUUCCACGUGUGGGAUUUUGUAUGUACCAUAUGAAUAAGGAUCGGCUAACUCCGUGCCAGCAGCCGCGGUAAUACGGAGGAUCCGAGCGUUAUCCGGAUUUAUUGGGUUUAAAGGGAGCGUAGGUGGAUUGUUAAGUCAGUUGUGAAAGUUUGCGGCUCAACCGUAACAUUGCAGUUGAAACUGGCAGUCUUGAGUACAGUAGAGGUGGGCGGAAUUCGUGGUGUAGCGGUGAAAUGCUUAGAUAUCACGAAGAACUCCGAUUGCGAAGGCAGUUCACUGGACUGCAACUGACACUGAGGCUCGAAAGUGUGGGUAUCAAACAGGAGUAGAUACCCCUGUAGUC
Molecule: ribosomal RNA, 460 nt
Filed under: uncultured bacterium
Lineage: Bacteria
Description: partial 16S ribosomal RNA
Rfam family: Bacterial small subunit ribosomal RNA
Source: RNAcentral